CGUCAUUCGAGCAAUGUCUAUCCCGUUUUCAAACAGGGAAAGUUGUCUCGUUAAGGCUCUGUCCUCGCAUGCUGGGGCUUAUGGCUUCAGCGAUUUGGGGACUUCUCAUGAUGAGAGACUUUCAACGUUGGGUCACGUCUCUGUGAUUGUGCACCCGCCGUCACCUCAAUUGCCCGGUCAAAGUGACAGCAGUGUGUAUGACAGCGCUCCGUCACUGGCGAGAAUCCCCCGGGGGGCGUGUCCGCGAGGAUUACCCUAACGAUGGAUGCGUCCCUUCCAGGCUGGGGUGCGACUCUAAUGGGCAGAGCUGUAAAUGGGGCGUGGCCCCCCCAGAUGAGUCUAGCCCACAUAAAUUAUCUGGAACUUCUCGCAGUGUUUCUAGCACUAAGACACUUCAAGGAUUUUCCCCGAAGCCAACACGUCCUGGUGAAAACAGACAACUUCACUGUGGUGGCUUAUAUAAAUCGGCAGGGUGGGACACGCUCAAUGCAGUUACACAGGUUGGCGCGAAAGCUUCUCCUGUGGAGCAGCACCCGUUUUUUUUUAUUCAAGCGACACAUGUACCGGGGAUACUGAACCGAGGGGCCGAUCUUCUGUCAAGGGGAAACCCCCUGUACGGAGACUGGGGGCUUCACCCGCAGGUGGUGAUGCAGCUGUGGCAGAGAUACGGCCAGGCAGCCGUAGAUCUCUUCGCCUCGCGGGAAAACGCGCAGUGUCCUCUGUAUUUUUCCCUGUGGGACGAAAAUGCACCUCUGGGUUUGGAUGCUUUAGCCCACCCAUGGCCAAACGUUCUUCUUUAUGCGUUUCCACCCCUGAGUCUGAUUUCUCCCACUCUGACCAGAGUGAGAGAGCAGGGUCUGUCUCUUAUACUAAUAGCCCCGCAUUGGCCAUCGAAGCACUGGGUGGCGGAGAUUGUCCAGAUGCUCGCGGGUCAGCCCUGGCCACUCCCACUGAGGAGAGACCUAUUGUCACAAGCAAACGGGAAAAUAUAUCAUCCCCACCCAGACAAGUUGGCUUUCUGGGCCUGGCCCGUGAGAGGUGGACAGCUGCCACUUGCUGUCAUUGAUACAAUACAAUGCACCAGAGCUAAUUCUACUCGCACAUUAUAUCAACACAAGUGGCGAGUUUUUGAAGACUGGUGCACCAGUCCUUUUCAGUGCUCUGUGGCGGAGCUACUCUGCUUCCUACAAGAUUUGUUGGAUAAAGGGAAAGCCUUUUCAACGAUCAAGGUCGUCACGUGGGCUUUGGAGAUAGGUCCGUGGGGCAGCAUGCUCUGGUCUGUUGGUUUAUGAAAGGGGCACGCCGUAAACGGCCUGUCUCCAGACCUUUGGUUCCUUUGUGGGACUUGUCCCUGGUGCUGG
RNAcentral lists this long non-coding RNA (1361 nucleotides) under Astyanax mexicanus (Mexican tetra). RNAcentral describes it as "lncRNA (ENSAMXG00005003996.1)". The record is from RNAcentral. Lineage: Eukaryota; Metazoa; Chordata; Actinopteri; Characiformes; Acestrorhamphidae.